GUGCACUGUAAGAGUCAAGUUUCUGAUGCAUGUAUGGCUGAUUCAGAUAUUCCUUCAUCUGUUGAUAAUCGUCUGGAAAACGAAACCAUUAGCCAAAUUGAGAUAUUUGAAGAUGACAACAAAGUGGAACCUACAACUAUUGUCCCCCUGAGGAAAUGCAGUACCAGCCAGGGACAGGGGCUUUUGGUGCAAGAUCAAGCAGCUGCAUCCUUUACACUGAUAAGAUGCACAAAGUCUGAUGCAGCUUCUGAUGGCAACAUGCAGACUGACUUGGAGUCAGAAGAUAAAUCAAUGUCGCCAUCAAAAAGCGGCCACGGAGUCUCACAAAGUCCUGUUGAAAAAUUAAACAUGGAAACUAUUCUUGUUCAUGAUGAAGUCUUAUUGGACAGAGUCAGCAAAGAAGAAGUUAUUUCUGGUCAUGCUAAGAUUGAGCACUCUGUAUCAAUUGAUGGCGAUGAGAUGGAAAUCGAUGGUUCUUUGGAAGCAAAUCAUGACCAGUACAUGGAGGUGACAGUGGAAGACCAGAAGCAUAAAACAGGUGACAGUAAUAUAAAUCUUCCUAACUUAUCCUCCUCGGAGGCUACUGAUUUGCUAAGAAAUUCAGACAACUCUCUCAGUCCAGAGGCGGCUGGACAAGAAGACCAUGACCAAGUACCAAGCUUAGACUCCAGUGAGGCAGAGCUUGGGGAAGAACCAGCAGUUCCAUACAACAACACCAUUGAAAUAUCAAUGGAAGACAAGAAAGAAAGCGAGAGAGAAAUUGAAACUAAUCAACAAGCCCAUGUUCAGUCCUCUGAAAGAAACAAUGCUAGAAACUCAGGUAUGGAUCUAAAUUUCAUCAUUUGGAAACCUUAACGCAAGUUUUGGACUAAGCUUCAGUCCAAUGUUAUCUUAAUCUAUUUGUCAUAAAAUGCAGGAAAGAUACGAGCUAAGAGGAGUAGAACUCGAUUAACCCAGCUACAACCUUUGAAGCCUUUUCUACUUCAUCGUUUCAAACAAAUCAGUAAAAGACGAAAACAUAGAAGAGGUUGAGUAUUGUCUUAAACCCUAGCGAAGUUUUGCUCAUUUAAUUUAAACCCACACAAGAAUUUUUUAAUUUAUUUCUGAAAGUUUAUAGUUGGUUUCUUCGUGUACUCGUGCUUUAAAAACACUUUUACUUAAAAUAAUAAAAAGAAAUAAAUAAAAGUGAAACACAUGUUAAAGAGUGGAGAGUCGGUAAAUCAACCGCCGGCCGACAAAAGUCGGGGACAUUGUCGCCGGAGGGCCUACAUCUCUCUUCAUAGCCUUUGCUAAAGAAGAAAGACUGCUCAAGCUGUGGCUCAUUUGGAAAAAAAAAUACGAAUAUUCUCUUCUCUUAUAAAUAAGACAAUUGGUGUUAGGUUGAGUACUUUAUUUUUGUUUAUUGGAGUGGAACCUUCUUUGAUUUCACAAAGAUUUUAUAAGGUGUUAAUGUAUGCUUACUUUUGGAGAUUGCUAGUACUUAGUAGCACGAUGAGUACUUAACGUGAGGGUAAUGAAAUCAUCAGAGUAACAUGACCAUGUUUUUCAAUGCUAAAAGUUAUCAUCUUUCCACUUUCUGAUUAUUUUUGUAAAUCAAGUGGGUAAAAGAUAAUUCGGACCAUUAAGGAACAUAAUAAACUAUGCAUAAAACUAUUUACGGGCGCCUAAGUAAUAAUGAUACGGAAUGAAAUAAUUUGUUAUAGUUGGAAAAAUGUGCUGAUAUUAUUUUUCCAUUUAUAGAACCAACCAAACAUCAACCUCUGUCUCUUUUUUUUGUUGCCUAAAUUCACAUACGCAGGUUACUGGAUACAACAUCGACGUUAAUAUGAAUCAUACUGCUUUCAGGAAUAUGAUAGCCAAGAUUUUAAAGAAGAAGCGGUUUCACAAAGAAGCUGUCAAGGUUGAGUUACUUUCUUCUAGUGACACCUUUGGUCUCGAACAGCCCGUGUCUGUAGAUUUCAUGAAAUGGGAUCCCAUCUCAAGUGGCGAAGGUGACAUGCUCUUGGAAGAUCUCGCAAAGGCUUUUGAUGCCACCACAUGUGCUGUGUCGAAUAAGUCCUCUAAGGCGAUUGAUGUCACCUCUGAUCGUAAAGGCUUGCCAUCACAUGGUUUCCGGCUCAAUGGUAUUCUUGGAAGUGAACCUUCGACCCAGCCACCUGCAGCUAAGAUGAUUGACGAAGCACCGGUGCACUGUAAGAGUCAAGUUUCUGAUGCAUGUAUGGCUGAUUCAGAUAUUCCUUCAUCUGUUGAUAAUCGUCUGGAAAACGAAACCAUUAGCCAAAUUGAGAUAUUUGAAGAUGACAACAAAGUGGAACCUACAACUAUUGUCCCCCUGAGGAAAUGCAGUACCAGCCAGGGACAGGGGCUUUUGGUGCAAGAUCAAGCAGCUGCAUCCUUUACACUGAUAAGAUGCACAAAGUCUGAUGCAGCUUCUGAUGGCAACAUGCAGACUGAC
Molecule: long non-coding RNA, 2455 nt
Filed under: Brassica napus (rape)
Lineage: Eukaryota; Viridiplantae; Streptophyta; Magnoliopsida; Brassicales; Brassicaceae
Description: long non-coding RNA (BNAP_LNC010708)
Source: RNAcentral